RNAcentral lists this ribosomal RNA (433 nucleotides) under uncultured bacterium. Its description in RNAcentral is "partial 16S ribosomal RNA". It matches the Rfam family "Bacterial small subunit ribosomal RNA", at positions 29 to 507 of the family's 1533-position model. The record is from RNAcentral.
AACGAACGCUGGCGGCAUGCCUAACACAUGCAAGUCGAACGAGACCUUCGGGUCUAGUGGCGCACGGGUGCGUAACGCGUGGGAACCUGCCCUUAGGUUCGGAAUAACUCCCCGAAAGGGGUGUUAAUACCGGUUAAUGUAUUCGGACCAAAGAUUUAUGGCCAUUGGAUGGGCCCGCGUUGGAUUCGCGAGUUGGUAGGGUAAUAGCCUACCAAGGAGUCGUUGCAUAGCUGGUAUGUUAAGAUGACAAGCCAGAAUUGAGCUGAGGCACGGCCCAGUCUCCUACGGAGCACAGCAGUGGAGAAUACUAUGCACGGAGCGAAAGCCUGAUCCAGCAGUGCCGCGGAAGAGGUGAAGGCCUUAGGAUUGUAAAGUUCUUUGACCCGAGGUGAUAAUGACAGUACCGGGAGAAGAAGCACCGGCUAACUCCGUG